RNAcentral lists this ribosomal RNA (499 nucleotides) under uncultured fungus. RNAcentral describes it as "eukaryotic LSU rRNA". It matches the Rfam family "Eukaryotic large subunit ribosomal RNA", at positions 202 to 776 of the family's 3401-position model. Lineage: Eukaryota; Fungi. The record is from RNAcentral.
CCUUGGAGGGUGAUAGCCCCGUUCAUACUUAUUACUAGAAGCGUACGAAAAGGUUUCUACGAGUCGUGUUGCUUGGGACUGCAGCACUAAGUGGGUGGUAAAUUCCAUCUAAAGCUAAAUAUUGGUGGGAGACCGAUAGCGAACAAGUACCGUGAGGGAAAGAUGCAAAGAACUUUGAAAAGAGAGUUAAAUAGUACCUGAAAUUGCUGAAAUGGAACCGAUGGGAAGCAGUGUCGGUGGCGGGUAUUUAUACUUGUCACAAGCCAGGCUUCUUUUUCUGUUUCGGGAAAGGCUGAUAAACCAGUUUGGGUUGUCUACGCCGUCGUGCUAGCGAAGGACUCUGACGAAAUGCUUCUCAUCACCCCGUCUUGAAACACGGACCAAGGAGUCUAACAUGUGUGCGAGUGCUCGGGGUCAACCCCCCAGCGCGAAAUAAACGUAAAGGGGAAUUUAUUCCCUUAGGUAGGAUCCUUAGGUGCACUAUCGACCGACCAUGAUC